ACGGAGGAUGCAAGCGUUAAUCGGAAUUACUGGGCGUAAAGCGCACGUAGGCGGCGCCGUAAGUCAGGGGUGAAAUCCCGGAGCUCAACUCCGGAACUGCCCUUGAAACUGCAGUGCUAGAAUCUUGGAGAGGCGAGUGGAAUUCCGAGUGUAGAGGUGAAAUUCGUAGAUAUUCGGAAGAACACCAGUGGCGAAGGCGACUCGCUGGACAAGUAUUGACGCUGAGGUGCGAAAGCGUGGGGAGCAAACAGGA
RNAcentral lists this ribosomal RNA (253 nucleotides) under uncultured prokaryote. RNAcentral's name for it is "partial 16S ribosomal RNA". It matches the Rfam family "Bacterial small subunit ribosomal RNA", at positions 525 to 777 of the family's 1533-position model. The record is from RNAcentral.